This 502-nucleotide ribosomal RNA is filed under the name uncultured bacterium. RNAcentral's name for it is "partial 16S ribosomal RNA". It matches the Rfam family "Bacterial small subunit ribosomal RNA", at positions 28 to 523 of the family's 1533-position model. The record is from RNAcentral.
GAUGAACGCUAGCGGCAGGCCUAACACAUGCAAGUCGAGGGGCAGCACAGAAACAGCAAUGUUUUGGUGGCGACCGGCGGACGGGUGCGUAACGCGUAUGCAACCUACCUUUAACAGGGGGAUAACGGAGAGAAAUUUCCACUAAUACCCCAUAACAUCGAUCAAGGCAUCUUGAUUGGUUGAAAACUCCGGUGGUUAAAGAUGGGCAUGCGUUGUAUUAGGUAGUUGGUGAGGUAAUGGCUCACCAAGCCUACGAUACAUAGGGGGACUGAGAGGUGAGCCCACCACACGGGUAGUGAGACACGGACCAGACUCCGACGGGAGGCAGCAGUGAGGAAUAUUGGUCAAUGUGGGCAACCCUGAACCAGCCAUGCCGCAUGCAGGAAGACGGCGCUAUGAGUUGUAAAGUGCUUUUAAACAGGGAUAAAGCACAGUAUGUAUACUGUGUUGAAGGUACUGUAAGAAUAAGGAUCGGCUAACUCCGUGCCAGCCGCCGCGGUAA